AACGAACGCUGGCGGCGUGCGUAACACAUGCAAGUCGAGGGAGAAAACCCGCAAGGGCGAGUAAACCGGCGAACGGGUGCGUAACACGUGGAUAAUGUACCUCGUUGACCGGGACAACUGGCCGAAAGGCUUGCUAAUACCGGAUGAGCCCACGACGUCUUCGGACGACGAGGGAAAAGGCGGCCUCUUCAUGCAAGCUGUCACAUCGAGAUGAGUCCGCGGCCCAUCAAAUAGUAGGUGGGGUAAAAGCCCACCAAGGCAACGACGGGUAGUUGGUUUGAGAGGAUGAUCACCCACACUGGAAGUGAGACACGGUCCAGACUCCUACGGGAGGCAGCAGUGGGGAAUCUUGCGCAAUGGGGGAAAGCCUGACGCAGCAACGCCGCGUGUGUGAUGAAGGUCUUCGGAUAGUAAAGCACUGUUGCGAGGGAAGAGACGCCACCGGACAACACCCGGUGGUCGAGACGGUACCUCGAGAGGAAGCACCGGUUAACUUUGUGC
Molecule: ribosomal RNA, 501 nt
Filed under: uncultured bacterium
Lineage: Bacteria
Description: bacterial SSU rRNA
Rfam family: Bacterial small subunit ribosomal RNA
Source: RNAcentral